This 761-nucleotide ribosomal RNA is filed under the name Xanthomonas sacchari. RNAcentral's name for it is "bacterial SSU rRNA". It matches the Rfam family "Bacterial small subunit ribosomal RNA", at positions 38 to 788 of the family's 1533-position model. Lineage: Bacteria; Pseudomonadati; Pseudomonadota; Gammaproteobacteria; Lysobacterales; Lysobacteraceae. The record is from RNAcentral.
GGCGGCAGGCCUAACACAUGCAAGUCGAACGGCAGCACAGGAGAGCUUGCUCUCUGGGUGGCGAGUGGCGGACGGGUGAGGAAUACAUCGGAAUCUACCUUUUCGUGGGGGAUAACGUAGGGAAACUUACGCUAAUACCGCAUACGACCUUAGGGUGAAAGCGGAGGACCUUCGGGCUUCGCGCGGAUAGAUGAGCCGAUGUCGGAUUAGCUAGUUGGCGGGGUAAAGGCCCACCAAGGCGACGAUCCGUAGCUGGUCUGAGAGGAUGAUCAGCCACACUGGAACUGAGACACGGUCCAGACUCCUACGGGAGGCAGCAGUGGGGAAUAUUGGACAAUGGGCGCAAGCCUGAUCCAGCCAUGCCGCGUGGGUGAAGAAGGCCUUCGGGUUGUAAAGCCCUUUUGUUGGGAAAGAAAAGCAGUCGGUUAAUACCCGAUUGUUCUGACGGUACCCAAAGAAUAAGCACCGGCUAACUUCGUGCCAGCAGCCGCGGUAAUACGAAGGGUGCAAGCGUUACUCGGAAUUACUGGGCGUAAAGCGUGCGUAGGUGGUUGUUUAAGUCCGUUGUGAAAGCCCUGGGCUCAACCUGGGAAUUGCAGUGGAUACUGGGCAACUAGAGUGUGGUAGAGGAUGGCGGAAUUCCCGGUGUAGCAGUGAAAUGCGUAGAGAUCGGGAGGAACAUCUGUGGCGAAGGCGGCCAUCUGGACCAACACUGACACUGAGGCACGAAAGCGUGGGGAGCAAACAGGAUUAGAUACCCG